RNAcentral lists this long non-coding RNA (781 nucleotides) under Ananas comosus (pineapple). Its description in RNAcentral is "long non-coding RNA (ACOM_LNC033613)". Lineage: Eukaryota; Viridiplantae; Streptophyta; Magnoliopsida; Poales; Bromeliaceae. The record is from RNAcentral.
AGGACACAACGACAACAACGCAAAAGCACAAAGCCCGACUACGGAGUGGCACUCGUGGGCGCUACCCAACCGAGUAUGCAAGCGUAUCUCUGACGAGUUCAAUCAGGCUCUCACAGGCUAUAGUCAAAGCAGAAGGGUCUAACUGAUCUAACAACUAUAAUAAACAUGUCAUCGGCACAAUCUGAUGCAAAAACAGCAAACUCGGUCCACUGUCAAUCACAACGGCACCCGACAGUCCGGAAUAGACUAUACACUACUGUAAAAAUAAACUCGGCAUCCCAGUACGAGCAUAAAUUCAUUCUACACUAUUCUGGAUAUCCACCGCCUACAAACUGCGGCGACACAAACAAACUACAGCUCCUAAAGCUAAAUAUGGUAGUUUUCAGAAAAUAACAGUGUAGAACCUAUAGUUUUCUCCUAAGUCAAAUCCAAGUCCAACAAGUAUAAUAAAACUAGCAUUCAAAGCUCCAAUUCAGAUUUCAUUUAAAAACAAUGCAAAUCGGCGAAUCGAGCUAUUAAACAUGAUAUACGAAACCAAAAAUACAUGCUGUCAACUCCGGCUUAGGAGGAAAUCCGACAAUUUCGGUAAACAUUAACCCACCUCGAAAAGUUAUUCCAAUAACGACGAGAAAAUGCAAGGAAAGGAAGUCACGCGCUCGCCCGGCCUCCAAUGGCGCUACCACGACGCACGCACCGCACGCACGCUCGAACGGCUCCCCGGCGCAGCGUCGGCGUCGAUCCGAACUCCAACCGAGGACUCCACCUUGCUCAUGAUCAAAUA